AUUGAACGCUGGCGGCAUGCCUUACACAUGCAAGUCGAACGGCAGCGGACCUUCGGGUGCUGACGAGUGGCGAACGGGUGAGUAAUGCAUCGGAACGUGCCCAAUCGUGGGGGAUAACGUAGCGAAAGUUACGCUAAUACCGCAUAAGCCCUGAGGGGGAAAGUGGGGGACCGCAAGGCCUCACGCGAAUGGAGCGGCCGAUGUCAGAUUAGCUAGUUGGUGGGGUAAAGGCUCACCAAGGCGACGAUCUGUAGCGGGUCUGAGAGGAUGAUCCGCCACACUGGGACUGAGACACGGCCCAGACUCCUACGGGAGGCAGCAGUGGGGAAUUUUGGACAAUGGGCGCAAGCCUGAUCCAGCCAUGCCGCGUGCGGGACGAAGGCCUGGUUGUAACG
RNAcentral lists this ribosomal RNA (395 nucleotides) under uncultured bacterium. Its description in RNAcentral is "bacterial SSU rRNA". It matches the Rfam family "Bacterial small subunit ribosomal RNA", at positions 29 to 430 of the family's 1533-position model. The record is from RNAcentral.